Molecule: ribosomal RNA, 253 nt
Filed under: uncultured bacterium
Lineage: Bacteria
Description: partial 16S ribosomal RNA
Rfam family: Bacterial small subunit ribosomal RNA
Source: RNAcentral
UACGUAGGUGGCAAGCGUUGUCCGGAUUUAUUGGGCGUAAAGAGCGCGCAGGCGGUUCGUUUAGUCCGAGGUGAAAUCUCCCGGCUCAACUGGGAUAGGUCUUCGGAUACUGGCGGACUUGAGGAGAGCAGAGGUGAGUGGAAUUCUCGGUGUAGUGGUGAAAUGCGUAGAUAUCGAGAGGAACACCAGUGGCGAAGGCGACUCACUGGGCUCCACCUGACGCUGAGGCGCGAAAGCGUGGGGAGCGAACCGG